ACAAAACACACAAUAAAUGGGCCU
Molecule: non-coding RNA, 24 nt
Filed under: Arabidopsis thaliana (thale cress)
Lineage: Eukaryota; Viridiplantae; Streptophyta; Magnoliopsida; Brassicales; Brassicaceae
Source: RNAcentral